This is a long non-coding RNA of Tyto alba (common barn owl), 155 nucleotides long. RefSeq lists it as uncharacterized. The record is from RefSeq and is a predicted model, not a curated record. Lineage: Eukaryota; Metazoa; Chordata; Aves; Strigiformes; Tytonidae. The transcript has 3 exons.
GUGGAGGCUUGUCUGCUGUGGCAGGGACCCCACGCUGGAGCAGAGGAAGAGUGUGAGGAGUCCUCCCCCUGAGGAGGAAGGAGCAGCAGAAACAAGGGGUGAUGAACUGGCCACAACCCCCAGUCCCUGUCCCGCUGCAACAGUGUCAGGAGGAG